UUAAAAAGCUCGUAGUUGGAUCAAGAGUUGGACAGUGCACGGCGGCCCCGUUGGCCUCGUUUGGUUCCGGUCAAGCUAGCCACGGCGGAAUCACCCCGUGCGCCAAACUGUCCACUCUAACAGGCCGAAACGGUUCCCUGUGAGUGGGCUCCUUCAUUGGGGUCGAAAGCGCCUACGCAUCAACCAUAUGCAUACGGGACGUCGGCCAAAGUUACCGUGAACAAACCAGCGUGUCCAAAGCAGGCUUUCGCCUGAAUGUUCGAGCAUGGAAUAACAAGUGAACGAUUCUCUCGGUUCUUAUUGUUGGUUUUUAACCCGAGAAGGAGUAAUUCAGGCCACGGUGUCUGAGUUGGGUUACCCGAGCCCUUGGGUGAGGCCCCAAUUAUGCCGUGUCCUUACAGGAUCAAUAGGGACUGACGGGGUCCUACGUACUUCCGCGUCAGAAGUGAAAU
This 452-nucleotide ribosomal RNA is filed under the name uncultured marine eukaryote. RNAcentral's name for it is "bacterial SSU rRNA". It matches the Rfam family "Eukaryotic small subunit ribosomal RNA", at positions 619 to 917 of the family's 1831-position model. The record is from RNAcentral.